CACCGCGGUUAUACGAGAGGCCCAAGUUGAUAACCCUUCGGCGUAAAGGGUGGUUAAAAUAAAAUAUAUUAAAGUUAAAAUCCUCCCUAACUGUUGUACGUAUCUGGGGGAAAGAAAUUCACUCUCGAAAGUAGCUUUAAAUAAUUGAAUCCACGAAAGCUAUGACA
Molecule: ribosomal RNA, 167 nt
Filed under: Aspidontus taeniatus (false cleanerfish)
Lineage: Eukaryota; Metazoa; Chordata; Actinopteri; Blenniiformes; Blenniidae
Description: partial small subunit ribosomal RNA
Source: RNAcentral